AGACCAACAGUUCUUUUUCUAUUUAGUUUUUUUAUUUUUUUAUUUUAAUUCUUUUUUUAGUUUAUCUUAGUUUAUAUAUUUACGUUAGUACUAAAAUAACAGUUAGUUGGUAAGUGGUCUGGUGGAGAGGAGUGGUGUCUAGAUCCUCAGUGUAGUGGGUUCGAUUCCCCUAUGUGUAGUUUUUUCUUUUAACAUCUUCUUUAUGUUUAUGCUCUAUUACUCAUAGUUUUUU
RNAcentral lists this long non-coding RNA (232 nucleotides) under Lathyrus oleraceus (garden pea). RNAcentral describes it as "Pisum sativum (pea) long non-coding RNA (PSAT_LNC020866)". The record is from RNAcentral. Lineage: Eukaryota; Viridiplantae; Streptophyta; Magnoliopsida; Fabales; Fabaceae.